Molecule: ribosomal RNA, 481 nt
Filed under: uncultured bacterium
Lineage: Bacteria
Description: bacterial SSU rRNA
Rfam family: Bacterial small subunit ribosomal RNA
Source: RNAcentral
AGGACGAACGCUGGCGGCGUGCUUAACACAUGCAAGUUGAACGGGACGGAUAUUGAAGCGACUUUCGGAGUGGUGGAUAUAUUGUUUAGUAGCGGACGGGUGAGUAAUGCAUGAGAACCUGCCCUUCAGAGGGGGACAACAGUUGGAAACGGCUGCUGAUACCCCAUAUGCCGAGAGGUGAAAGGAGCGAUCCGCUGAAGGAGUGGCUCAUGUCCUAUCAGCUAGUUGGUGAGGUAAGUGCUCACCAAGGCGAUGACGGGUAGCCGGCCUGAGAGGGCGACCGGCCACACUGGAACUGAGAUACGGUCCAGACUCCUACGGGAGGCAGCAGUGGGGAAUAUUGGGCAAUGGGCGGAAGCCUUGACCCAGCGACGCCGCGUGAGGGAAGAAGGCCUUUGGGUCGUAAACCUCUGUUGUAUGGGAAGAAGGAAGUGACGGUACCAUACGAGGAAGUCCCGGCUAACUACGUGCCAGCAGCUGC